CAAGGUCGAAUGAUUGUCACAAGUGCAUAGUUCAUAUGAUCAAAUUGUGAUCACUUGAACAAAAAAAAGUCUCUCGCUCCUAUCGGACGACUUUC
Molecule: non-coding RNA, 95 nt
Organism: Triticum urartu
Lineage: Eukaryota; Viridiplantae; Streptophyta; Magnoliopsida; Poales; Poaceae
Source: Rfam